GGUCUUAUAGUCAAUUAUAUGAUAUUAGAUUGCAAAUCUAAAGUAGUAGAAUAAUACUAAGACCU
RNAcentral lists this transfer RNA (65 nucleotides) under Geocoris pallidipennis. Its description in RNAcentral is "tRNA-Cys". The record is from RNAcentral. Lineage: Eukaryota; Metazoa; Arthropoda; Insecta; Hemiptera; Geocoridae.